This 434-nucleotide ribosomal RNA is filed under the name uncultured bacterium. RNAcentral's name for it is "bacterial SSU rRNA". It matches the Rfam family "Bacterial small subunit ribosomal RNA", at positions 29 to 507 of the family's 1533-position model. The record is from RNAcentral.
AACGAACGCUGGCGGCAGGCCUAACACAUGCAAGUCGAGCGCGCCUUUCGGGGUGAGCGGCGGACGGGUUAGUAACGCGUGGGAAUAUACCCUUUGGUACGGAAUAGCCUCUGGAAACGGAGAGUAAUACCGUAUGAGCCCUUCGGGGGAAAGAUUUAUCGCCAAAGGAUUAGCCCGCGUUAGAUUAGGUAGUUGGUGGGGGUAAUGGCCUACCAAGCCUACGAUCUAUAGCUGGUUUUAGAGGAUGAUCAGCAACACUGGGACUGAGACACGGCCCAGACUCCUACGGGAGGCAGCAGUGGGGAAUCUUGGACAAUGGGGGCAACCCUGAUCCAGCCAUGCCGCGUGAGUGAAGAAGGCCCUAGGGUCGUAAAGCUCUUUCGCCUGUGAAGAUAAUGACGGUAGCAGGUAAAGAAACCCCGGCUAACUCCGUG